This 207-nucleotide ribosomal RNA is filed under the name uncultured bacterium. RNAcentral's name for it is "partial 16S ribosomal RNA". It matches the Rfam family "Bacterial small subunit ribosomal RNA", at positions 568 to 774 of the family's 1533-position model. The record is from RNAcentral.
CGUCUAGGCGGGGAAUUAAGUUAGGUGUGAAAUCCAUGGGCUCAACUCGUGAAUUGCAUCUAAAACUGGUUCUCUUGAGUUCGGGAGAGGAGAGCAGAAUUCCUGGUGUAGCGGUAAAAUGCGUAGAUAUCAGGAGGAAUACCAGUGGCGAAGGCGGCUCUCUGGCCUAGGACUGACGCUGAAGCGCGAAAGCGUGGGGAGCGAACG